GACGUAGGGCGCGAGCGUUGUCCGGAAUCACUGGGCGUAAAGGGCGCGUAGGCGGCCUGAUAAGUAGGGGGUGAAAUCCUGCGGCUUAACCGCAGGGCUGCCUUCUAAACUGUCAGGCUGGAGCACAGUAGAGGCAGGUGGAAUUCCCGGUGUAGCGGUGGAAUGCGUAGAGAUCGGGAAGAACAUCAGUGGCGAAGGCGGCCUGCUGGGCUGUUGCUGACGCUGAGGCGCGACAGCGUGGGGAGCAAACAGG
This 253-nucleotide ribosomal RNA is filed under the name uncultured bacterium. RNAcentral's name for it is "partial 16S ribosomal RNA". It matches the Rfam family "Bacterial small subunit ribosomal RNA", at positions 524 to 776 of the family's 1533-position model. The record is from RNAcentral.